UUUAGUUUGACUUGUCUUGAUUUUUUUUUUUGUGUUUUGACAUGAUUAUUUUUUAGAGAAAAUGAGUGAUGCAUUGACAAAUUAAUUUUAUACUUUCAAUUAAUGACAAUCAUAUAUCCCAUUAAAUUAAAUUGAAAAUUUUAAACUACUUAUAUGACAUAAUAAAUAAUAUACUCUUAUUAAAUAAACUACUUGUAUGACAUGAUAAAAUAAUAUACUCCUAUUGAAUGAUAUUAUAAAAUUUAUUACAG
RNAcentral lists this long non-coding RNA (251 nucleotides) under Lathyrus oleraceus (garden pea). RNAcentral describes it as "Pisum sativum (pea) long non-coding RNA (PSAT_LNC026783)". Lineage: Eukaryota; Viridiplantae; Streptophyta; Magnoliopsida; Fabales; Fabaceae. The record is from RNAcentral.